This is a long non-coding RNA of Anguilla rostrata (American eel), 305 nucleotides long. RefSeq lists it as uncharacterized. The transcript is spliced from 3 exons. The record is from RefSeq and is a predicted model, not a curated record. NCBI's taxonomy places the organism in Eukaryota, Metazoa, Chordata, Actinopteri, Anguilliformes, Anguillidae.
GCAGAAUACCCGGCACUGAUGUCUUUCAUUGCAUUCCUCUACAUCCUGAAUGCAAUACAGGAAUUUAAGCACAGGAGUCAUUUCCCUGCUGUUCUUCAUAUCCUAGUAUAUGUGUUUGGUUCUGCUGUCCUAAGUGUCCUUAAUUCAGCUGCUCUAGCAACAGAAGUAAUUCUGAAAGCAGAAAAUGGGGAACGAACUGUGGAUCUUCGGUUGAUCAUCUUUCCCCUUGAGUCUUUCUUUUUGGCCUGUUGGCUAGUUUUACAGAUCUAUGCAUACUGUAAGUAUUUGGAAAUAUUACAUAUUUG